AACGAACGCUGGCGGCAUGCCUAACACAUGCAAGUCGAACGCCAUGGUUUCGGCCAUGGAGUGGCGCACGGGUGAGUAACGCGUGGGAACCUGCCCAGCAGUAUGGGACAACCGCGGGAAACUGCGGCUAAUACCGUAUACGCCCGUCUUUGGGAGACCAGGGGCGGGGAAAGAUUGAUCGCGGUUGGAGGGGCCCGCGUCGGAUUAGGUAGUUGGUGGGGUAAAGGCCUACCAAGCCUGCGAUCCGUAGCUGGUCUGAGAGGAUGAUCAGCCACACUGGGACUGAGACACGGCCCAGACCCCUACGGGAGGCAGCAGUGGGGAAUAUUGGACAAUGGGCGCAAGCCUGAUCCAGCAAUGCCGCGUGAGUGAUGAAGGCCUUAGGGUUGUAAAGCUCUUUCACACGCGACGAUGAUGACGGUAGCGUGAGAAGAAGCCCCGGCUAACUCCGUGCCAGCCGCCGCAGUAA
RNAcentral lists this ribosomal RNA (469 nucleotides) under uncultured bacterium. RNAcentral's name for it is "partial 16S ribosomal RNA". It matches the Rfam family "Bacterial small subunit ribosomal RNA", at positions 29 to 523 of the family's 1533-position model. The record is from RNAcentral.